GAGAAAAGCAGAAAUACUCAUUGACUGAAAUAGUAAUAAAUAAUAAUGAACAAGCAGCAGAAAACUUACUAUAGCAAAUAUAUUCUCUUACAAAGUAAAUAAUUGAAACUGAAAUGUUGAAGAAAAGAAGAUUGGGUCUCUGUCUAUUGUAAAACUAGCAAUAUUCUUACUUUACAACUUGGUUCAAAAAACUGAACAUAAUGCCACAAAAGUGGGAGAGUUCCAAAAUAAGUUAACCUCAUCCACUUAAAAAAACAUAGUUUUAUUUAAAAAUAUCCUACCACCAAGGAGUUUAGAAAUAUUUACCCAAACUCAUGUAAGUGCUAAAAGUGCAGCGAAGUGAAGAAUUAAAAUUAAAAUUGUUCUCUCUCCAUAUUUCCAGGAAUCAUAGACAAGAUUUGAAUUAAGAUCCAAAACACCAAAAUGGCCCUUUCCCAACAAGAAUUCGUACGGCUUUCAAUCUUAGAAAGGGCUAUCCUUCCUCUCCACACCCAAUCAAAAGCAAAACAAAACCAAACACACUUCCAGAAAGCAACUUCCUGCCCUCUAGAUUAAAGAUCUUAAGCUAGAUUCAACAAACAAAAAUAAAUAAAAUACUAAAAUCGAAGAAACGAAGCCCCUAUUUCGUUCAAAUCUAUCAUGGAAUUCAUUUGCAAAUGAAAAGAAUGUCUUAUUCAUUGCUUCCAAAAUCAGAACAGUGUCAAAAGAAAAACGUUAACAAUCAUCUACUCAUUAUGAAAAAAUAGAAUUACAAGUAUGUUCUGACUGCAAGUGGGAGACUGAUGCUUCAUGCCUAUUGACAUUUCAAGUUAAAG
Molecule: unclassified non-coding RNA, 815 nt
Filed under: Hevea brasiliensis (rubber tree)
Lineage: Eukaryota; Viridiplantae; Streptophyta; Magnoliopsida; Malpighiales; Euphorbiaceae
Source: RNAcentral